Cervus elaphus (red deer) is the source of this 1037-nucleotide long non-coding RNA. RefSeq lists it as uncharacterized. Lineage: Eukaryota; Metazoa; Chordata; Mammalia; Artiodactyla; Cervidae. The record is from RefSeq and is a predicted model, not a curated record. The transcript is spliced from 4 exons.
CGUCCCGGAGCGGGCCGAGGUCCAGGCGCUGGGAGCUUUAGCAGUAAGAGGUGGUGGUGGUUUUUCUAGCUUGAAAGCUGACUCUGAAGAGAAUCAUGGAUUUUACGUCUGUCGUCUCGCGUACAGUUUCUGUUCUCUGCAGACUUCCGAGUAUCAUUUAAUUUCCCCUCAGCAGCCAUGGCUGGUCGUUUUUGGUGGACUUGGGGUGCAGAAAGUCACAACGUUCUCUCCGUUUCCCCCAGCGCAUUUGUUCUGGUGACUUCUGGAUAAAACGAGGAAAGGUGACCUUGGGUUUCUUCUGGAUGCACCCUACACUGGUCAACCCUAAGAUGGAGGCCUGAUCUUAUUCAGCAUACAGUUGCAGCAUGUGGGAUCUAGUUCCCUGACCAGGGAGCCUGGAGUCUUAGCUGCUGGGAGGUCCCUGCUCUCUGUAACCUUGACUGACAUUACUUGGCACCUUCCAACCUGGUGAAUCAACUUGGAAAGUUCACAAAAUGCAUGGAUAUUCGGAAUGCUCCCUACAGCUUAGGCUCUUCCCUGAUUAUCAAAGCACAUCCUGUGACCUCAGGUUAAGAAUCAUUAAUAAAAUAUUAUAAUUGUAUUUGUUAAUUGUCCAUCAAUAAAUUUGGGGAAAAUAAUUUUGAUGACAUGGGUAAAUGCUCACAGGAUAAUACUAAAUGAAAUAUGAAACCAUAUUAGGUAUGAUCCUGGUUUUGUAUAUAUGUGGUUUUAUGUGUGUGUAAAGUCUUAAACAAAAUUUACCAAAUACACCAAACUGUUCACAGUGGAAAAGAAAAAAGAAGAAUCAUUAAUAAAGGAUGAGGCUAUAAGCACAAUGUUAAUUUUCUUAGUUCAUGUGCCAUUUGGGGUUAAUCCGAGAGGUGAAAGAGAUGAAAAUACAUAUUAAGACACUGAUUACACUGAAUUGGCUUCUGUGAUUGGGAGGGCUAGCUAAGAAAGUGUUAUCAACUCCAAUGAGGUGUCCCUCUAAAAGUCAUAUGUUGAAACCCCCAAGAUGAUGAUAGUUUUGGGGGGUG